GGAGGGAUGGCCGAGCGGCCUAUGGCGCCUGUCUUGAAAACAGGUGUGGGUAACACCACCGGGGGUUCGAAUCCCUCUCCCUCCG
Molecule: transfer RNA, 85 nt
Filed under: Anaerolinea sp.
Lineage: Bacteria; Bacillati; Chloroflexota; Anaerolineae; Anaerolineales; Anaerolineaceae
Also listed under: 2 other names
Description: tRNA-Ser
Rfam family: tRNA
About the family: Transfer RNA (tRNA) molecules are approximately 80 nucleotides in length. Their secondary structure includes four short double-helical elements and three loops (D, anti-codon, and T loops).
Source: RNAcentral